The sequence is a ribosomal RNA, 562 nucleotides long. It matches the Rfam family "Bacterial small subunit ribosomal RNA", at positions 67 to 613 of the family's 1533-position model.
UGAUCCCUUCGGGGUGAUUCUGGUGGAUGAGCGGCGGACGGGUGAGUAACACGUGGGCAACCUGCCUGUAAGACUGGGAUAACUUCGGGAAACCGGAGCUAAUACCGGAUAGUAUUUCCUUUCUCCUGAUUGGAAAUGGAAAGACGGUUUCGGCUGUCACUUACAGAUGGGCCCGCGGUGCAUUAGCUAGUUGGUGGGGUAAUGGCCCACCAAGGCGACGAUGCAUAGCCGACCUGAGAGGGUGAUCGGCCACACUGGGACUGAGACACGGCCCAGACUCCUACGGGAGGCAGCAGUAGGGAAUCUUCCGCAAUGGACGAAAGUCUGACGGAGCAACGCCGCGUGAGCGAUGAAGGCCUUCGGGUCGUAAAGCUCUGUUGUUAGGGAAGAACAAGUACGAGAGUAACUGCUCGUACCUUGACGGUACCUAACCAGAAAGCCCCGGCUAACUACGUGCCAGCAGCCGCGGUAAUACGUAGGGGGCAAGCGUUGUCCGUAAUUAUUGGGCGUAAAGGGCUCGUAGGCGGUUUCUUAAGUCUGAUGUGAAAGCCCACAGCUCAAC